UACGGAGGGGGCAAGCGUUGUUCGGAAUUACUGGGCGUAAAGGGCGCGCAGGCGGCUGCUCAAGUCAGGCGUGAAAGGCCUGGGCUCAACCCGGGAAUUGCGCUUGAGACUGGGCUGGCUUGAGUGCGGGAGAGGAUGGUGGAAUUCCCAGUGUAGAGGUGAAAUUCGUAGAUAUUGGGAGGAACACCAGUGGCGAAGGCGGCUCACUGGACCGGUUCUGACGCUGAGGCGCGAAAGCGUGGGGAGCAAACGGG
This 254-nucleotide ribosomal RNA is filed under the name uncultured bacterium. RNAcentral describes it as "partial 16S ribosomal RNA". It matches the Rfam family "Bacterial small subunit ribosomal RNA", at positions 524 to 776 of the family's 1533-position model. The record is from RNAcentral.